Molecule: ribosomal RNA, 253 nt
Filed under: uncultured bacterium
Lineage: Bacteria
Description: partial 16S ribosomal RNA
Rfam family: Bacterial small subunit ribosomal RNA
Source: RNAcentral
UACGAAGGUCCCAAGCGUUAUCCGGAUUUAUUGGGUUUAAAGGGUGCGUAGGCGGGCUAUUAAGUCAGUGGUGAAAGCCCCAAGCUUAACUUGGGAACUGCCAUUGAUACUGAUGACCUUGAGUACAUUUGAAGUGGGCGGAAUGUGUCAUGUAGCGGUGAAAUGCUUAGAUAUGACACAGAACACCGAUUGCGUAGGCAGCUCACUAAACUGUAACUGACGCUGAGGCACGAAAGCGUGGGGAGCAAACAGG